This is a long non-coding RNA of Poecilia latipinna (sailfin molly), 1172 nucleotides long. RefSeq lists it as uncharacterized. The transcript has 2 exons. Lineage: Eukaryota; Metazoa; Chordata; Actinopteri; Cyprinodontiformes; Poeciliidae. The record is from RefSeq and is a predicted model, not a curated record.
CUUCAGUAAGUCAUCACAACAGCGCUCCUCUAUUAACCAUUUAACAAUGUUUCUACUAGUGUUGCAUUGAGAAAUAGCUCCUAUAAUGAGCUCAUUAGAUGCGCAAUUACAAAAGGUGGUUUGCUAAUUGCUUCUGGCGAGUCUGACGGUGUUGAGUUGGGGGAGCCAUGGGGUUGGGCUGCUCUGUAAGGCAGAAGUUUGGAAGCUAACUGCAGCUUUAAGGUGGAGCUGUGCCUUGAAGGUGGUGCUUAGGACCAACCAUUCGUUUUGGACAGCUGAAUAGUUGCCAUGGGAGAUCAAAGGAAUUCACAAACAUGCAAGAAUCAAGGCAACGCCCCAGCAUCCAGAUGAUGAGCCACGGUGACUGUGUCCAACGAGGCCUCGUUCAGAUCAGUGAGAAACCGUGUGUGAACAGUCCUGUCUCCCAGCGUGCUCAUUGAGCAGCUAUGAGACCUCUGGGUUUGAAGUUUUCAACAUUUGAUCCAUGGGAAACCCUUGCAGACAAUGAUGCUGGUUAACAAUGUAGCCCCAGUUCGGAGUGUCCCCUGAGAGCCUCUGCACACUGCAGAUCUUAUGACCUGUCCUGGAUACAUCUCCCCACUGGGAAUGGACCACUCCCAUCUGGCUUGGUACACUAUCUAGGAGAAGGUAGAGUUACAUACUCUUUCUGGUACCGAGACUUGGGCCACGGUUGUUGUUCAUGGAUAAAAUGUGUGUUGGUAUGCGUGGAUAUGAAGGUGGGCUGAGGGGAUUUAAAGCAGAACUUGGUUACAUAAUCCCCCCUUUGGCUACCAAACCAUGACUUAUUUUAAAAGUUUGCAUUAAGUUGCAAAUAAAAUAUUUCUCAAUGCUGUAUAAUUUGAUCAAGUUGGAACGGAAAUUAACUUUUCUUCAUUUCGGACUAAAUACAAAUAUUUACUUUUUCUGUCAUGACUUAGAAAAAUUAUGUCAACAUUGGAAAUCUUCUCUGUGAUCCCAGCUCUCCUUCUGACGCCUUUAACAGAAUAAUCGACAAUCAGUCCACAGACACUCACGCCAAGAGUUAACAAAAUAAACAGUUUAGUUCAACGUUCCACCCAUAAUUGGUUUAACUUAUGAGUGCAGACCUCUGAUGGUGUAAUUGCUAUUGUCACUUACAGAAUACAGAGUCUGUUUGCUAUAAAGCAGGAUAG